RNAcentral lists this small RNA (281 nucleotides) under Arabidopsis thaliana (thale cress). RNAcentral's name for it is "ATSL307160". Lineage: Eukaryota; Viridiplantae; Streptophyta; Magnoliopsida; Brassicales; Brassicaceae. The record is from RNAcentral.
UAUUCAAGAUUCCUCCUAAUCAGUUAUUUCUUCUUUGUAUGUAGAUGUAGUUGCAACUUCAGAGCUUUUCUCAUCUGUGGUGUCGUAGCGUGAGAGAGACGGAUUUGCAGUCAUUGAAACUCUUUGGACAUUACAAAGCCCAAUAAAGAUGGACAAAUGACAAGCCCAUUUUUAAAUUUUGUCUGACUCUCGCCUAUCCUACAUGAAUUCUACAGAGACAAUGCAUCAUCCCAUUCGGCUAGGUCAAUUUUCAUCCCUAUCUUGUUUAUAAUCUAUAAUCU